This 458-nucleotide ribosomal RNA is filed under the name uncultured bacterium. RNAcentral's name for it is "partial 16S ribosomal RNA". It matches the Rfam family "Bacterial small subunit ribosomal RNA", at positions 29 to 507 of the family's 1533-position model. The record is from RNAcentral.
AACGAACGCUGGCGGCAGGCCUAACACAUGCAAGUCGAGCGACGACUUCGGUCCUAGCUGCGGACGGGUGAGUCACGCGUGGGAACGUGCCCUUUGCCUCGGAAUACCCCUGGGAAACUGGGAGUAAUACCGGAUGAGCCCUUUGGGGGCAAGAUACAUCGUCGAAGGAUCGGCCCGCGUUGGUUUAGCUGGUCGGUGGGGUAAAGGCCUACCAAGGCGACGAUCCAUAGCUGGUCUGAGAGGCUGAUCAGCCACACUGGAACUGAGACACGGUCCAGACUCCUACGGGAGGCAGCAGUGGGGAAUAUUGGAAAAUGGGCGCAAGCCUGAUCGAGCCAUACCGCGUGGGUGAAGAAGGCCUUAGGGUUGUAAAGCCCUUUUGUUGGGAAAGAAAAGCAGCAGGUUAAUACCCCGCUGUUCUGACGGUACCCAAAGAAUAAGCACCGGCUAACUUCGUG